AUCGCAAAAUGGCUUAUCGCUGUUCGCUUAGGCGGAGGGAGGAAAGUCCGGGCAACAUAGGGCAGUGUACCUCUAGAAACAGAGGGUGCUUAGGUAGGAAUACCAAGGUAACAGAAAGGGUAACAGAAAAUAACCACUCUCAUUUUUUUGAGAGCCAGGGUGAAAAAGUGAGGUAAGAGCUCACACGCUCGGAUGGUAACAUUCGUUUGGUACAAACCUUGCACGUUGUAAAACCAAGUAAACUAUAGGUUGAGGGCAGCUCGUCCAAUUCUAGUCUCGGCUAGAAACUAUAGAGGGUAGGUUGCAUAGAUAAAUGAUAAGCUCAUUCACCUUGGUGAAGAGACAGAACCCGGCUUAUAGUUUUGCAUUUUUA
Molecule: RNase P RNA, 373 nt
Filed under: Bacteroidota bacterium
Lineage: Bacteria; Pseudomonadati; Bacteroidota
Description: Bacteroidetes bacterium RNase P RNA component class A
Rfam family: Bacterial RNase P class A
About the family: Ribonuclease P (RNase P) is a ubiquitous endoribonuclease, found in archaea, bacteria and eukarya as well as chloroplasts and mitochondria. Its best characterised activity is the generation of mature 5'-ends of tRNAs by cleaving the 5'-leader elements of precursor-tRNAs.
Source: RNAcentral